GGACGAACGCUGGCGGCGUGCCUAAUACAUGCAAGUAGAACGCUGAACGAGAGGAGCUUGCUCUUCUUGGACUUAGUUGCGAACGGGUGAGUAACGCGUAGGUAACCUGCCUUGUAGCGGGGGAUAACUAUUGGAAACGAUAGCUAAUACCGCAUAACAAUGGAUGACACAUGUCAUUUAUUUGAAAGGGGCAAUUGCUCCACUACAAGAUGGACCUGCGUUGUAUUAGCUAGUAGGUGAGGUAACGGCUCACCUAGGCGACGAUACAUAGCCGACCUGAGAGGGUGAUCGGCCACACUGGGACUGAGACACGGCCCAGACUCCUACGGGAGGCAGCAGUAGGGAAUCUUCGGCAAUGGGGGCAACCCUGACCGAGCAACGCCGCGUGAGUGAAGAAGGUUUUCGGAUCGUAAAGCUCUGUUGUAAGUCAAGAACGAGUGUGAGAGUGGAAAGUUCACACUGUGACGGUAGCUUACCAGAAAGGGACGGCUAACUACGUGCCAGCAGCCGCGGUAAU
Molecule: ribosomal RNA, 517 nt
Filed under: uncultured Streptococcus sp.
Lineage: Bacteria; Bacillati; Bacillota; Bacilli; Lactobacillales; Streptococcaceae
Description: bacterial SSU rRNA
Rfam family: Bacterial small subunit ribosomal RNA
Source: RNAcentral